GAUUACUUUAUAUUUGGUGUCAGACGUGUUUAAAAAGGAGGCCGAAAAGGGAAAUAAGAACCGUGAGACCAAUUUGGUAUUCUGGGAGUUACUCACUGAAAAUACAGAGGAGUCGUCAGAAGGCUAAAUUUAAAAUAAUACGUACUUCGCAAAAAAAAUAACUUUUCUUGAAACAUGCAAGGUUUGCUGUUGAUGCAACAGUCUUGAUUAAACACCUGGUCAACUUAUCUUUUUGAAACGCUUAAGUGCUCCUUUCUACUAUUUACGUAUACUCAGUGGAGCAAGGUCAUGUGAAGAUCUUUAUUAACUCCUCUUCAGUCUUGCGUGGAAUUUUAAACUCUGAAAGGGAACAGAAAGUUUGCAACAUCGUCAUAAGAUUCUGCAACUGAGCAAGCAUCUAGUCUCCCUGCAUGCAGCCUCAUCUCAUGGAGCCUUCAGUCAACUGUAGACCGUGAAAUUCGGGUUCCGGUUGUGGCAUAUAAGAACAUGAGAACUGUGAAGAAGUCGAUAUGUCGCCGGACUAAAAGUGACAAAUAAGGUCCUUAUUCGCCGUUGCGCAUCUUAAUCGACCAUUUUCUGGUCAUUUCGAUAUGGACUAGCGCUCUGAAACUGUUUCAACAAAUAGCAGACGAUACUGGGAGUUCCACUGAAGUUGUAUUCACCUGUGCCUGUAUUUGCCGGCACCCAAUCUAACGAUAAUUCUCCAUCUCAUUCCGUCAUCGAUACGUUCGUGGUUACUCAUUUAAUGUGACACGUUAUAAAAUUUCCCCAAGUCUUGAGAGAAUCACGGUGAAUGUCGAAAGCGUACAGGCAUGCUAAUCGCUGGAAACCCUCGUGAGCUUAUAUCGCCUCCUCAAUCACAAGUUCACACAUGCUCAUGUAUGUUUAUAUAUUCGACUCUGAAUACUUCGCAUUUGACUUUACACAAUUUUUCGACGGCAUAAUUAGUACCUUAAUACUUUAAUAUUUUUCGUAAAAUUAGAGAUACUUUCUAAAUUCUCUUAAUUUUGCACAUGAGUGCAUUUGAACCAUGAACUUAUCAUAAUUAUUAACAAUAAAAUAGAAUGUAUUCUCGUUUGAGUUUAGUUAGUUUUUCACAGUUAUUCAUUGCUGAAACUGCAAACAUAAGAGUGCGUCUGAACUUUUUAGCAUUUUAUACGGUAUGUUAUCUAACAGCAUGUACGACCAUUUAAUAAGUAUACAAGUUUGUUUUAAAUCAAUGUUUUCUAAACUGAGAAUGGCGUCAAAGGAACAAUGAAAUUCGUCUUCGAAAUUCAGCUAUCUGAGAAAUACUUUAUCUUGGCAAAAAACCACGAAACACAAACUGUUGAUUAGAAAAAGGCUGCCAUAUCGUCUUAUAAAUACAAACAAUUUUGCUUACGGUAUUCAGAUGGCUAAAGUAUAGAGCAGGAAAUAUAAAGAAGCAUUUAAAAGCUGAGCGUGUCUAAAGAUCUCCUAGAACAAAUGUGAACUUUUUAAUAUUGUAAGGUAGUUUUUUAAUAUUGUAAGGUAGUUAAAGCUCAAUGGAACAGGUAGACAAAAAAUUGAAAGUUUUAAAAUGUAGAUAGUUAUGCAAUUAUUUUUCUAUAUUAGCUCGUACAGCAAUGCGUUCCACGACAUUUUCUGUGAUAAAAAUUAGAAAAUUAAUAUAUCUAAUACCAUUAUUAAUUACUUAAAAUAGCACCUCAGAAGACUGGCUAUUUGCUUUGUCCAGAUAAAUCACCAAAAUUAAAUACCAUAUGAAGAAUUUCCGUUAUCACAUUGAAAAAGCAGUCAGUUUUUCUGAUUCUCACGCAGUAGAUUAGUUAGUUAAUUAGUUAACUCUGUUGAACACCCAUUAACACCUGAAAUUUUGCAAUGUCAAGAAUUCAAGAGAACUCUUACUUUAAAUGGGAAACAAAUCGUUCUCCAAAGGAUGCCUGGCCAUUGUGGCCUUUGGAGCAAUGAACAACCGGACUUCCUUGCACUUACGACAACAUCUUAAUGCAGCCAUUUCUUAUUGAAGGAUUAAAGUGUUUUUAAAAAAGUUAUUUACAUCUAAUAUCUUAUGAGAUUUUCAUACUCGUACAGCCUUAAAAAGUUGGUCUCUUAUACCCGAUAGUUCAAGACGCAAUGCAGGUGAGGCUUUCCGUCUGUCUACAGGAUAUGAUUGCCUUGCGCUCGCACCGUAUAGGCAUUUCAAACGAUCCUAUUUGCCCAGUUUGUGAUUCUGGAGAAGAAAUGGACAAGGUACCACUCAUCACAUGUGGAGCUCUUUGUGGUCUUACAGAAGAGUGGAGAUACUGGGAGGCAAGAAUGCUCUUUAUGCAAUGACUAAAUCUUUUUGUUCUUAGUUCUGCUGUUUGUAACCUCUAUUUAUAAGAAUUUAGACCUUUGUAACUUUUUGCCUAGCCAUUGGAAAUAAUAAAAAACUAUAAUAUUCAAA
Long non-coding RNA from Stegodyphus dumicola, 2425 nucleotides. RefSeq lists it as uncharacterized. The record is from RefSeq and is a predicted model, not a curated record. NCBI's taxonomy places the organism in Eukaryota, Metazoa, Arthropoda, Arachnida, Araneae, Eresidae.